CCCGUUAUUUAAUUUAACGGGUCUCUUAUAUACACUGGACCCAAAAAAAUUUGUAGCAGAAAAGCAAGAGACGACCCCUCAUUUCCUUCCAUUUUCCAUCUCUCUUUCUCCACACUUCAAUUGUAGAUCUAGAAACCCGAAUGAGAAAAUAUCCGCGAUGUUGGCGCCUCAUUACUUGAAAGCACUUAGAAGCGAGUACCCAGAAUGCAACGAGCUACAAUCUCGCAGAUCUAAACCAGAAGAACCUAUGACAUCUGCUUUUUUCCAAGUCUAUAAUAUUUUAGCUUCAAUCUUUAAUUUUCUGAUGUUUUUAUUAAUUUCUUUUGAACUUCAUGUUGAUUUUGUUGCAAUUAUGUUUCGUUUUUUUUAAUUAUUUGAUAUUGAUUUCACGGAAUUUAGGGUUUUUUUGACUUGCACGGUUAGUAUUAUGAGAUUAGGGUUUUUAAGGAUUGGUCUUCGGGAGGAUUUGAGGGGACUUAGGAGUUCAGAUUGGUUAAAAGUUUCGGGGGUGUAAAGGUAAUCGAGGUAAUAAUCGGAAUAUGAAGAAUUGCGGUUAGUUUGUGUGUUUAUUUUGCGAAAUUAGUACAGUAUGAAUGCAAGAACUACUGAUGUUAUGUGAUUAGUCAUGUUUUAUUUUAUGAGUUUCUUUGCUUGAUUUGUAGUAUACUAUUUCCAUAUUGUUAUCGGUUCUGCAAAUGUUGGAUUUUGCCGAUCUUGAGUCAAAUGUAAUUUUGAUCUCUAAUGGUCUAAUGAGUCUGAGUGUUACAGUAAUAAAGAAAUUCUUUGUUCUUUGGUAAUGCAUAGGAAAAAUUAUUUGUUUUGUUUGUUAUAUGCUUAUUGUUUAUUGGACUUAUUGAUAAUUUGUAGGAAUACUUAUUUGUUUUGAUUUCCGUAUGCCUAUUGUUUAUUGGAUUUUAUCAUUUCACAUUUUGGUAGCUCUUAAAUUAUGUUAAAGGUGAAUUUCUUCAAGUUGGAGAAGGAAUCUAGUUCUGCAUUGCUGGAACAUAUGGUAAGAACUAGAAUGAAAAAAUAUCGAUUUUGGGUUAGCCAUGGAUGGACCAUCUGAUGACAAAAGCUAUGUUUCUACGAAGGUCAUGGGAACUCAUGGUUAAGCUGCACCAGAAUAUGUCGCAACAGCAUGCGCAAGAUUGAUUCAAAGGGGAAAGUAAGAAAAGUAUUCGACUUCUCAUUUUUGGUUGUGAUCCUUCUGAUGGACUUUGGUGAGGAGUCCGAAAGAGCUCAUUGUGGUUCAGCAGCACAUCAAGUCUCACUAAUAUGCUCACGAGAUUCUUAUCUAACUAACUAAGUUAGGCCACCACAUGUGCUCGUACCUGAAUUUGCCAAUAAGUAUAUCAUCUAAUCUUGUCAGUUGUCAUAGUUAUGUAAACUUUUGAGUUGUUAUUUUUAGUUUUUUGAGAUUAUAGUUGAUGUAAAGUAAGAAAUAUUUUUUUGGUAAUGGUAUGAAUUAUUUUGGAA
This is a long non-coding RNA of Spinacia oleracea (spinach), 1476 nucleotides long. RefSeq lists it as uncharacterized. The record is from RefSeq and is a predicted model, not a curated record. The transcript is spliced from 4 exons. NCBI's taxonomy places the organism in Eukaryota, Viridiplantae, Streptophyta, Magnoliopsida, Caryophyllales, Amaranthaceae.